Molecule: ribosomal RNA, 402 nt
Filed under: bacterium
Lineage: Bacteria
Description: partial 16S ribosomal RNA
Rfam family: Bacterial small subunit ribosomal RNA
Source: RNAcentral
UGGGGAAUAUUGCACAAUGGAGGGAACUCUGAUGCAGCGACGCCGCGUGAACGAAGAAGGCUUUCGAGUCGUAAAGUUCUUUUAUAUGGGAAGAUAAUGACGGUACCAUAAGAAGAAGCCCCGGCUAACUACGUGCCAGCAGCCGCGGUAAUACGUAGGGGGCUAGCGUUGUCCGGAAUCACUGGGCGUAAAGGGUUCGCAGGCGGAAAUGCAAGUCAGGUGUAAAAGGCAGUAGCUUAACUACUGUAAGCAUUUGAAACUGCAUAUCUUGAGAAGAGUAGAGGUAAGUGGAAUUUUUAGUGUAGCGGUGAAAUGCGUAGAUAUUAAAAAGAAUACCGGUGCGAAGGCGACUUACUGGGCUCAUUCUGACGCUGAGGAACGAAAGCGUGGGUAGCAAACAGG